This 253-nucleotide ribosomal RNA is filed under the name uncultured bacterium. RNAcentral describes it as "partial 16S ribosomal RNA". It matches the Rfam family "Bacterial small subunit ribosomal RNA", at positions 524 to 776 of the family's 1533-position model. The record is from RNAcentral.
UACAGAGGUCCCGAGCGUUGUUCGGAUUCACUGGGCGUAAAGGGUGCGUAGGUGGUGAGGUAAGUCGGAUGUGAAAUCUCCGGGCUCAACCCGGAAACUGCAUUGGAAACUACCUUGCUUGAGGAUUUGAGGGGGGAUUGGAAUACUUGGUGUAGCAGUGAAAUGCGUAGAUAUCAAGUGGAACACCAGUGGCGAAGGCGAAUCCCUGGAAAGUACCUGACACUGAGGCACGAAAGCUAGGGGAGCAAACAGG